RNAcentral lists this ribosomal RNA (440 nucleotides) under uncultured bacterium. RNAcentral describes it as "partial 16S ribosomal RNA". It matches the Rfam family "Bacterial small subunit ribosomal RNA", at positions 338 to 795 of the family's 1533-position model. The record is from RNAcentral.
CCUACGGGUGGCAGCAGUGGGGGAUAUUGCACAAUGGGGGGAACCCUGAUGCAGCGACGCCGCGUGGGUGAAGAAGCGCCUCGGCGCGUAAAGCCCUGUCAGCAGGGAAGAAAAUGACGGUACCUGAAGAAGAAGCCACGGCUAACUACGUGCCAGCAGCCGCGGUAAUACGUAGGUGGCAAGCGUUGUCCGGAAUUACUGGGUGUAAAGGGAGCGCAGGCGGGAAGCCAAGUCAGCUGUGAAAACUACGGGCUUAACUUGUAGACUGCAGUUGAAACUGGUUUUCUUGAGUGAAGUAGAGGUUGGCGGAAUUCCGAGUGUAGCGGUGAAAUGCGUAGAUAUCGAGAGGAACACUCGUGGCGAAGGCGGGUUCCUGGACAUUAACUGACGCUGAGGCACGAAGGCCAGGGGAGCGAAAGGGAUUAGAUACCCUGGUAGUC